GUGCUGGCAGUUUAAUACUUGGCGAAGUCAAAACAAUAACAGGUCAACGGGCCAAAUCGGCUGCAAGUCGGAGUUCUCCCGUUUCUCUCGAUUACCAAACCGCGUCUGUUUGAGGAGCUUUGUGCCAUGUCGAAAGUGAAAGUUUAGAGGUUCAGUAUUUAGACUCUUGUGAGCAGCAGAGAGAGUCAGAGAGGAGUGAACUCAGACUGUGAAGACACGCAGAGCUCGGGUGAUCAAUAACUCUCUCUGAAUGGGAAAUAAUCUCCUUUAAUAAUUCAUAACCAACUACGGGCAAAUCUUCAAAUACAGGAGUAACUGUCUGAGAAAUAACAACUGUUCCAGGAAAGAGAACAAGAAGAUCCUACAGCUGAUGAAAACAAACAGCUUUCACAUGUCGAGCAUUCAGAGUCAAGAAAAUCUCUCAUUCCAUGAACAGCAGUCAGAUGAGACCACAAGAAUCCUCCUCGAGUGUAAACAUGGCAGAUGAACCGUGGACUGAUUUAACAAAAGAAACACAGACAUCUUCAAUUCAUUUUAUUGCAAAUGUUUAUUGUGCAUUUACUGAUCAAUAUGAGCUUUUUCUGCACCUGCUAAUUAAUAUCUAUACUGUAAGGUGGCUGAUGCAAACAUUAAUAAUAUGGUAUAUUUUCAUAGCAAAUAGGAUUUAUAAUCAAAAUCCAAAAAACAAAACACUCCAUAUUUACUGAAACUAUAGAACAAAACAAUACACAUAAAUAUUAUAUGCAAAAAUAAAUAUGAGCACAAAUAAAGUAUAUUUAAAUAAAUGAUAAAUUAAAAUAAUUUUAUAAUAAAUAAAUAUAGUUUUGUCAUGCAAUCAAACCAUCAUUAAUGUAAUCUUUCGAUCACUGCUGUGCCAUUUGAGUCAAAGUGAUGACAGUCAGAUGUUUGUUUGAAUCAGGUCAAGUCAUCUUUAUUUCUAUAGUGCUUUAUACAAUACAGAUCGUUUUAAAUCAGUUUUACUGGCAUAAGAGACAGAAUCACUUCUCGUAUUAAAGAGUGAGAUGCUGCAUGGGCCACAGCAAAGAAAACAAAUAACCAUUUAGGACAUGAAGAAAUAAUUGUACAAAAUUAGUUAAGAACUUUAAAUGUGAUUAUUAUUUAAACAUGAUAAAUGAAAAUCUGAAUGAUAAACUAAAUUUUGGAAACUGACCAAAUCAGUCUCUGGGCUAAAAUCUUCGACAAGUUUGCCUGAAUAUUUAAAGGUUAAGGGAAGAAUUAUAAAGGGAAAAGAAAAUAUCGUUAAUGCCUUUAAUAGUAAUAUUAUUGUUGCUGGUUUAACUUCUGAUGUUUGUAAUUUAGCAGAACUUUUUAGUAGCACAAGUUCACAAAGCUCUAUUACAUUUAGAUCGUAAAAAAUCAGCAGGGCCGGAUAAUAUAGAGCCUUAUUUUUUAAAAGUUGUGGCAGAUUUCAUAGUGGAACCAGUUACUGCUAUGUUUAAUUUAAGUUUAACUUCAAAUAUAAUUCCACAUGCAUGGAAAUCAGCUAUGGUUCUGCCUUUGUUAAAAGGCGGUGACCCUUUUGAAUUAGACAAUUACAGACCUAUUUCAAGGCUAUCAGUUAUUGCGAAAUUAUUUGAAUCUCUUGUUAAUGACCAAAUAAAACAGUUUUUAAUGGAAAAUAAUAUAUUUUAUAUAAUGAACUUCAAUCAGGUUUCUGCUCAGCUCAUAGUGCUAUUACAGCUGCUAUGUUGACUACAAAUGUUAUUAUUACAUGCCUAGAUAAUAAACAGUACUGUGCUGCUCUAUUUGUUGAUCUAUCUAAAGCAUUUGAUUCUGUAGAUCACAAAAUCUUAUUGCAGAGACUCAGUUGCUUGGGUUUUAGUAAAUGAGUCUUAAUUGGUUCAAUAAUUAUCUGACAGAAAGAAUGCAGUGUGUCUCAGCUAAAAAUUUAAUGUCUACAGAAUUAAAAAUAAAUAAAGGAGUCCCACAGGAAUCUAUUUUAGCUCCUGUUUUAUUUUCACUUUAUAUAAAUUACCUAUAGGUCAAAAGAUAAACACGGCAAAAAUCCAUUUAUAUGCUGAUGACACAAUUAUUUACAGUUGCACGUCUGAAUCAAGCCAUAGAGCUGUUACAAGAUUCCUUUCUGUCACUGCAAUUUCCAUUGUUAAACUGAUAUUGGUUUUAAAUGCUAUCAAAUAUAUGGUCUUUACUCAUAGUCGUACCAAAAUAACGGUUCCACCUAUUCUAACCUUGGAAGGGAACUGUAUUGAAAGAGUAAAUAGUUAUAAAUAUUUGGGUUUAUGGCUUGAUGAACGGUUGGGUUUAAAUAUUCAUAUUGAAAAUCUUCUAAAAAAGCUCAGACCUAAAUUGGGUUUUCUUUUCGUAUUAAGAAGUGCUUUCCUUUUGAAGCAAAAAAAAAAAGAUUUAUCCAAAGUAGUUUCCUUUCAGUUUUGGACUAUGGUGAUGUGGUUUAUAUGCAUACAAACUUGUCCUUACUGAGGAAGUUGGAUAGUAAAUAUCAUGCUGCAAUACGAUUUGUGACAAAUACAUCUUCAUGUUCCCAUCACUGUACUUUGUACAAAAUAGUUGGUUGGUCAUCCUUGUUCCAAAGGAGAAAAAUGCGUAUGUUAUUAUUUACUGCCAAAGCAUUAUAAGGUAAACUGCCAACUUGUAUUUGUAAUCUUUUAUCAUAUUAUACUUGUAAUUAUAGCACUAGAAACUCUUACAAAUUACAUUUGGCUGUUCCUAGAGUAUGCUCUGAGUUUGGCAAACCUGCCUUUUUCUCCUUUGGUCCUAGACUAUGGAAUGAAAUGCAGAGUGUUAUGAUGUUAGAAACAAUUCCAUCUCUAAAUAUUUUUAGAAAUCUUUUGGAGUUCUACCUGGAAGUGAAAGUGUUUUAUGUAUUUUUUUAAUAUGAUGUUGGGUGAUAUUUUUAUUAUUUUUUGUUUUAUGUGUGUGUCUAAUCUGUAUGUGAAACUUUCUGUUCUGCCAUUUUGGCCAGGACUCCCUGGUAGAAGAGAUUUAUAUCUCUCUAUAUCUCUAUAUCUAAACAGCUCUUUAAGACAACAGUAAACAACCAGGACUCAAAUCAGUUCAUUGAUUCAGUUUGAUUCAGUAACUGUGUAAUGAGUUUCAUUUUUAGUUUUUCAGAUCUAGCUUCAUUCCUUUCAUUUCUCUGAACUGCUGCAGAGCUUCUGUUUCCUCUUUCCAGGAAAGUUUCGUAAUUUCAUCAUCAUCCAUUCACGCAAAAACAAUAAAACGAUUGACAGAGUGCUGACAGAUAUGUGUGGUGUGGUGGCUGGAGAAACCAUGAUGAUAUACGUGAAUGAAAUGAAUCAUAUAAAUAAGUCUUUAUGGUGUUUUCAUGCUGUUUGUUCUGAUUCACUAUGAACUGUGCAGAUACUGUAUAGCUUUAUCCUGUUGUUUCAUGGCAAAAUUAAUAGCAGAACUUUCACUUUUGAUUGAACUGUCUUGAUGUUUUAAUGUGUUACCAGGUUUUUCACUUCACUUCUGGCUCACCUGCUCUUUAUAAAUCAAAAAUCAUGCUGUGGAGUGCAGAGAGAAUCUCUCCAAAUUACAGAACCUGCUUUCAUUUAGAAAAUGAAAGUCAAAGAUAAGCAGUUUAAGUUUAUGUCCUUGUGUCACACAUUAAGAAAUUAGUGUGGAGUAAAACAUGCUCAAGGAGAAGACGUACAUCCGUUAAGUGCACAAUGAUUCUCUUAUAUUAAACAUUAACAACAUGACAGUAACCUUUAUUACAUACACUAAUCUUUAACCACUUCCAAUAGACACCUGAUUUUAACCUUUGUGACUUAAACACAUGCAUUACAGGAG
Long non-coding RNA from Cyprinus carpio carpio, 3795 nucleotides. The record is from Ensembl. Lineage: Eukaryota; Metazoa; Chordata; Actinopteri; Cypriniformes; Cyprinidae.